Molecule: long non-coding RNA, 1904 nt
Filed under: Nothobranchius furzeri (turquoise killifish)
Lineage: Eukaryota; Metazoa; Chordata; Actinopteri; Cyprinodontiformes; Nothobranchiidae
Description: lncRNA (ENSNFUG00015005246.1)
Source: RNAcentral
AUGUGUCGAGAUGACCUAAGGAGGUUGGAGUCUGCUGAACGACUUUGCAAGCUAUCCGCUCUCACUGUCCACAACAACAAAUCCAAAAAAUACCUGCAAAGACGUGCUUCUGCACACUCACUGCUCAUCCUUUAUGCACAACUGCAAGUACAGCAACCUCAAGGGAGCAUCACUCAGACUACUGAAGAGCAUCAGGAGGUGAUUACUGUGAUCCUGCCAUACGCUCCUUGUUCUCCGGUAAUGGAUUGGGCCACAGCCAUGCCUGUUGAGCUGAUGUUUUUAGAGUUUUAAUGGAGUGGUAAGUUGCAGUUAACAGUUCUACUGUUCUAUUUUUAGGAUUUGCACUCCCACAUGUUUUAACCACCAGUGGUCUCGAUCAGGAGAUCUAGCGAUCUCUUUUUUUGGAUUUCUCUUUCUGUCCAGUUCUUGCAGCCAGCCUUCACAGCACAUUGCACUUGAAAAAUGAAGAAAGUGGAGAACAGAAAAGGGAAGUGCUGGGACUGUUUCUGCAAGCUCCACCGCCGGUCUAUUUUUAGUUGAUCUCUUAUCGAUAAUACGAUGCUCCCUAAGGUUUCAUAAGCAACUGAGAUUCCUUUGUCUUGUUUAACUUUACCACCUUUCUGUCCGUCUCUUUCCUUUCCCUGCUCCAUAUUCCCCUCUCUACUCGUGUAGCCAAUACAAUAUUGAUGAGGCGGAUCGAUCAAAAGAGCAGCACCCUUACCCUCCAGCUGCUGUCGGUCAUCCAAUAUUCUGAUACAAGCAAUAAAUUGCUGCAGGUAAGGAUUUCCUCCACUUUUAGAUCCGUGUCCUAAGAAUAAAUUGUUCUGAUUGUUGAGAUUUUAAUUGCUUUAAAUAUUUGAAGGUUAUGUUUGUUUUUACAUUCUCUGGCAUGAAGUCAUGUUCCUUUCUAAGUUGCACCCUCUUAGUUCCAUUUGCUGUUAUGAGUUGGAGUUUAAAUUUGUUUCUGGGGUCUCCAGAGACUUCACCACAGUAAGGAGCCUUGACUGCAGCAGCUAUAGAGCCUCAGUCAUCAUCAUAGAGGAUUAUGUUACUGUUGGUCUGGUACAGAGCAAUAUCAAUAACAAUCUUUGCACUACAUCUGUCUCAUGUGAAGUUUAACUCGAUACAAGGUGCUCUGAUGAUUGCCUUUCCCCUCUGAGACUCCAAACCGAGUUACAUUUUCAUCUUCGGCUGAGUUUUAGUACUGAAACUCUGAGUAUCUUAAUUAAAUGAGGUGAUCUGCUCAAACAAAGCUGACACAGUGAAACAGAUUGGGUGGAGAGGUAAUUGUGGGAAAUUAAACUUGUCUUUUGUGGGCUGUACUGUUGUCAAAAAGAAGAAACGUUGAAUUGUUUUUGAAAGAGAUCAAGAUUCAAAGAGUUAUUUUUGCAGUCAUAUAAUUAAAUUUGAACUUGAAUAUGUUGUUGUUGUUUUGCAGCUGUAAAACAUCAUUUGUGUCUAAUUUUCAAAGUAUGCAUGAAGUAAUCUUUCCCUUAAGGUUUUGUUUUUUACUUGCUUGCUAAUGAGCUGUUAAGAUCAUUAUUUGUGGUUUUCUUUCUUGCAUAAUUUCAUCACGACAGUUAGAACAUGUUGAAGUUAAAAAUUUAAAUGUUGUGUUUAUUAAUGUUUUAGUCAAUGUCCAACUAUAUCAGAGGAAUUCUGCUUGGAGUCAGCAUGUCACCCGAUGUUUUAUUUAAACAUUCUUGUGUUUCACAAAUAUGUGUUAAUGCUCCAGAUUAUUGUUUUUUUUUUCUUUUUAUUACUAAGAAACAUAAGACGGAACACGGUAAACUCAAAAGAAGUCCUGUGUUGAGGGUCUGACCUCAUGAGGAAAUUACUAUGCAGUGAUUUUCUCCAAAAUGACUGUGCUUAAAUUGCUCUGAAAAGCAAAUAAUCACAUCAGC